UACAGAGGUCCCAAGCGUUGUUCGGAUUCACUGGGCGUAAAGGGUGCGUAGGCGGUCGGGUAAGUCUGAUGUGAAAUCUCACAGCUUAACUGUGAAACUGCAUUGGAUACUAUCCGGCUCGAGGAAUGGAGGGGAGACUGGAAUACUUGGUGUAGCAGUGAAAUGCGUAGAUAUCGUGAGGAACACCAGAGGCGAAGGCGGCUACCUGGACAAUUGCUGACGCUCAGGCACGAAAGCGUGGGGAGCAAAAGGG
Molecule: ribosomal RNA, 253 nt
Filed under: uncultured bacterium
Lineage: Bacteria
Description: partial 16S ribosomal RNA
Rfam family: Bacterial small subunit ribosomal RNA
Source: RNAcentral